UACGAAGGGGGCUAGCGUUGCUCGGAAUCACUGGGCGUAAAGGGCGCGUAGGCGGCGUUUUAAGUCGGGGGUGAAAGCCUGUGGCUCAACCACAGAAUGGCCUUCGAUACUGGGACGCUUGAGUCUGGUAGAGGUUGGUGGAACUGCGAGUGUAGAGGUGAAAUUCGUAGAUAUUCGCAAGAACACCGGUGGCGAAGGCGGCCAACUGGACCAGUACUGACGCUGAGGCGCGAAAGCGUGGGGAGCAAACAGG
Molecule: ribosomal RNA, 253 nt
Filed under: uncultured bacterium
Lineage: Bacteria
Description: partial 16S ribosomal RNA
Rfam family: Bacterial small subunit ribosomal RNA
Source: RNAcentral